GGGAAACCCAGUGUGAUUCGUCACACUAUCGUUAACUGAAUACAUAGGUUAACGAGGCGAACCGGGGGAACUGAAACAUCUAAGUACCCCGAGGAAAAGAAAUCAACCGAGAUUCCCCCAGUAGCGGCGAGCGAACGGGGAGCAGCCCAGAGUCUGAAUCAGCUUGUGUGUUAGUGGAACGGUCUGGAAAGUCCGACGGUACAGGGUGAUAGUCCCGUACACCAAAAUGCACAGGCUGUGAACUCGAAGAGUAGGGCGGGACACGUGGUAUCCUGUCUGAAUAUGGGGGGACCAUCCUCCAA
This 302-nucleotide ribosomal RNA is filed under the name Klebsiella pneumoniae. Its description in RNAcentral is "bacterial LSU rRNA". It matches the Rfam family "Bacterial large subunit ribosomal RNA", at positions 121 to 463 of the family's 2925-position model. The record is from RNAcentral. Lineage: Bacteria; Pseudomonadati; Pseudomonadota; Gammaproteobacteria; Enterobacterales; Enterobacteriaceae.